UACGGAGGGUGCAAGCGUUGUUCGGAUUUACUGGGCGUAAAGCGCGCGCAGGUGGGUGACCAAGUCGGAAGUGAAAUCUCGAGGCUCAACCUCGAGGCUGCUCCCGAAACUGGUCGCCUAGGGACUGGUAGAGGCUGGUAGAAUUCCCGGUGUAGCGGUGGAAUGCGUAGAGAUCGGGAAGAAUACCCGUGGCGAAGGCGGCAAACUGGUCAUCAACUGACGCUGAGGCGCGAAAGCGUGGGUAGCAAACAGG
This 253-nucleotide ribosomal RNA is filed under the name uncultured bacterium. RNAcentral's name for it is "partial 16S ribosomal RNA". It matches the Rfam family "Bacterial small subunit ribosomal RNA", at positions 524 to 776 of the family's 1533-position model. The record is from RNAcentral.